UAGCCGUAAACGAUACUCGCUAGGUGUCGGCCACGGUGCGACCGUUGUCGGUGCCGUAGGGAAGCCGUGAAGCGAGCCACCUGGGAAGUACGGCCGCAAGGCUGAAACUUAAAGGAAUUGGCGGGGGAGCACCACAACGGGUGGAGCUUGCGGUUUAAUUGGAUUCAACGCCGGGAAGCUUACCGGAUAAGACAGCGGAAUGAUUGCCGGGCUGAAGACCCUGCAUGACCAGCUGAGAGGUGGUGCAUGGCGUAGUCGUG
RNAcentral lists this ribosomal RNA (260 nucleotides) under uncultured archaeon. RNAcentral's name for it is "partial 16S ribosomal RNA". It matches the Rfam family "Archaeal small subunit ribosomal RNA", at positions 748 to 1013 of the family's 1478-position model. The record is from RNAcentral.